GGACCUCUUGCUAAUAGAUGAGCCUAGGUCGGAUUAGCUGGUUGGUGAGGUAAAGGCUCACCAAGGCGACGAUCUGUAGCUGGUCUGAGAGGAUGGCCAGCCACACUGGAACUGAGACACGGUCCAGACUCCUACGGGAGGCAGCAGUGGGGAAUAUUGGACAAUGGGCGCAAGCCUGAUCCAGCCAUGCCGCGUGUGUGAAGAAGGCCCUCGGGUUGUAAAGCACUUUAAGCGAGGAGGAAGGUCAUCAUACUAAUAUUAUGAUGAAUUGACGUUACUCGCAGAAUAAGCACCGGCUAACUCUGUGCCAGCAGCCGCGGUAAUACAGAGGGUGCAAGCGUUAAUCGGAAUUACUGGGCGUAAAGCGCGCGUAGGCGGUUUGUUAAGUCGGAUGUGAAAUCCCUGGCUCAACCUAGGCACUGCAUCCGAUACUGGCUGACUAGAGUGUGGGAGAGGAAGGUAGAAUUCCAGGUGUAGCGGUG
Molecule: ribosomal RNA, 482 nt
Filed under: uncultured bacterium
Lineage: Bacteria
Description: bacterial SSU rRNA
Rfam family: Bacterial small subunit ribosomal RNA
Source: RNAcentral